This 605-nucleotide unclassified non-coding RNA is filed under the name Rhoicissus digitata. Its description in RNAcentral is "partial external transcribed spacer". The record is from RNAcentral. Lineage: Eukaryota; Viridiplantae; Streptophyta; Magnoliopsida; Vitales; Vitaceae.
AUGUACGGUUGUCAUGCCUAUAUGGUCCCGUGAAGGCUUCACUCGGUGUUUUCGCCCCGGUUAAGGAUAAUUCCUCUAAACCAGUGGCGGUUCAACGCGUGAUGCUGCGUCACAGUGCACCUGAUGGCAUGUGAGUGGUGUUUGGGUCGUGCGGGUUGGUAGGCUCCUUGCUCGUGCAACGAACUAUCGCCGCACGCCCCUGGUCAGUCUUAAGCUUCAAGCGCAUCAACAAGCCUUGGGCAUAGCAAUAUCGCGGUUCCUGUGUUGCCUACCUAAUGAAUGGAAUUGUCCCCGAAACGGUUGCCUCUCUCCGCCUUGCGCCGCUCUUGCGGUGCAGGCGGACCUCGAAAGCGGUCAUCGUGUUCCGUGCUCUCCCCCCGCGCAUGCAUGUGCACACGCAAGGGGUUGGGCCCGGCCCACGACGGUCGCUCGUGCCCUCGGAUGCGGAACAUCAAAACGGGCGUGGGGUCUCAGGAUCCCAACACUCGCUCGAGCUAAGCGUUCGUCGCUAGACACGCACGACGGCCGCGAACGUCUUUGCCCCCCUCGUCGUCCCUGCGGGGCCUCGACCGGGCGCAUGCGUCGCCGGCGUCGCACACGAAUGC